This 300-nucleotide long non-coding RNA is filed under the name Medicago truncatula (barrel medic). Its description in RNAcentral is "long non-coding RNA (MTRU_LNC008163)". The record is from RNAcentral. Lineage: Eukaryota; Viridiplantae; Streptophyta; Magnoliopsida; Fabales; Fabaceae.
UUGAUUCUCUGCAUGGUGUUAGGCCGGAGAUGUCGGCGACAGCGGGGAGUGGUGAUGAGAUGAGGAUUGAUGAGAGUGCUAGUGCUGCUGAGAAUGCUUUUAGAUUUGAGUUUACAUCGUUGGUUGGUUUUUCUUGGUUUGUGCUGCAGUGGAUGAUGUUGGUUGAGAGUUUUGGUUUUUGAGGUAAUUUUGGUCUUAGGGUUGAGGUGGGUUUGGAGAGGUUAGUUGGAAUUGUUAGAGACAUUUUUGUGUGGAAGAAGAAGAGAAGAGGGAGUGAAGGGUGUUGGAUUUGAUUUGUGU